RNAcentral lists this long non-coding RNA (243 nucleotides) under Rattus norvegicus (Norway rat). Its description in RNAcentral is "long non-coding RNA NONRATT008464". The record is from RNAcentral. Lineage: Eukaryota; Metazoa; Chordata; Mammalia; Rodentia; Muridae.
UAAGAUGGCGGCGGCGUUGGUGGCGGCAGUGGACGGGGCGGCUGGGCCUGGAACAGUUGGAGCAUCCGCUGGCAGAAGGAUGACCCUAGAUGGGAAGCGGGCUGCCGGGCCUCGCCAGCUCCCGUGCUUGUAACUGCCCCAGCCGGACGCCCUCCCCUUGACCUACCGGUUCUUCAGCGAACCUUCAGACCAGUUUUCUCAGGAUCGUGGGCCAGACUUCGGUCGGCGAUAAAAACAGCAAGG